This 329-nucleotide unclassified non-coding RNA is filed under the name soil metagenome. RNAcentral's name for it is "partial contains 5.8S ribosomal RNA, internal transcribed spacer 2, and large subunit ribosomal RNA". The stretch from base 1 to 120 matches the Rfam family "5.8S ribosomal RNA", at positions 35 to 154 of the family's 154-position model. The record is from RNAcentral.
GAUGAAGAACGCAGCGAAAUGCGAUAAGUAGUGUGAAUUUCAGAAUUCAGUGAAUCAUCGAAUCUUUGAACGCACAUUGCGCCCCUUGGUAUCCCGAGGGGCAUGCCUGUUCGAGCGUCAUUUCACCACUCAAGCCUGGCUUGGUGUUGGGCGACGUCCUCUUUGGGGACGCGCCUCGAAACGCUCGGCGGCGUGGCACCGGCUUUAAGCGUAGCAGAAUCUUUCGCUUUGGAAGUCGGGGCCCCGUCUGCCGGAAGACCUGCUCGCAAGGUUGACCUCGGAUCAGGCAGGGAUACCCGCUGAACUUAAGCAUAUCAAUAAGCGGAGGA